RNAcentral lists this ribosomal RNA (253 nucleotides) under uncultured bacterium. RNAcentral's name for it is "partial 16S ribosomal RNA". It matches the Rfam family "Bacterial small subunit ribosomal RNA", at positions 524 to 776 of the family's 1533-position model. The record is from RNAcentral.
UACGUAGGGGGCAAGCGUUGUCCGGAUUUAUUGGGCGUAAAGAGCGUGUAGGCGGCCAUACAGGUCCGUUGUGAAAACUGGAGGCUUAACCUCCAGACGUCGACGGAAACCGUGUGGCUAGAGUCCGGAAGAGGAGAGUGGAAUUCCUGGUGUAGCGGUGAAAUGCGCAGAUAUCAGGAAGAACACCAAUGGCGAAGGCAGCUCUCUGGGACGGUACUGACGCUGAGACGCGAAAGCGUGGGGAGCGAACAGG